Molecule: ribosomal RNA, 401 nt
Filed under: uncultured bacterium
Lineage: Bacteria
Description: bacterial SSU rRNA
Rfam family: Bacterial small subunit ribosomal RNA
Source: RNAcentral
GAUGAACGCUAGCGGCAGGCUUAAUACAUGCAAGUCGAGGGGCAGCAGCUUUGUAGCAAUACAGAGGCUGGCGACCGGCAAACGGGUGCGGAACACGUACAGAACCUUCCUUCGAGCGGGGAAUAGCCCAGAGAAAUUUGGAUUAAUACCCCAUAGCAUAUUGAUAAGGCAUCUUAUUAAUAUUAAAGAAUCUAUCACUUGAAGAUGGCUGUGCGGCUGAUUAGGUAGUUGGCGGGGUAACGGCCCACCAAGCCUACCGAUCAGUAACUGGUGUGAGAGCACGACCAGUCACACGGGCACUGAGACACGGCCCGACUCCUACGGGAGGCAGCAGUAAGGAAUAUUGGUCAAUGACGCAAGUCUGAACCAGCCAUGCCGCGUGGAGGAUGAAGGUCCUCUGA